UGGGGAAUUUUGGACAAUGGGCGAAAGCCUGAUCCAGCAAUGCCGCGUGUGUGAAGAAGGCCUUCGGGUUGUAAAGCACCUUUGUCCGGAAAGAAAUCCUUGGCUCUAAUACAGUCGGGGGAUGACGGUACCGGAAGAAUAAGCACCGGCUAACUACGUGCCAGCAGCCGCGGUAAUACGUAGGGUGCAAGCGUUAAUCGGAAUUACUGGGCGUAAAGCGUGCGCAGGCGGUUUGCUAAGACCGAUGUGAAAUCCCCGGGCUCAACCUGGGAACUGCAUUGGUGACUGGCAGGCUAGAGUAUGGCAGAGGGGGGUAGAAUUCCACGUGUAGCAGUGAAAUGCGUAGAGAUGUGGAGGAAUACCGAUGGCGAAGGCAGCCCCCUGGGCCAAUACUGACGCUCAUGCACGAAAGCGUGGGGAGCAAACAGGAUUAGAUACCCUGGUAGUCCACGCCCUAAACGAUGUCAACUAGUUGUUGGGGAUUCAUUCCUUAGUAACGUAGCUAACGCGUGAAGUUGACCGCCUGGGGAGUACGGUCGCAAGAUUAAAACUUAAAUGAAUUGACGGGGUCAUAGCUGUUUCCU
Molecule: ribosomal RNA, 584 nt
Filed under: uncultured bacterium
Lineage: Bacteria
Description: partial 16S ribosomal RNA
Rfam family: Bacterial small subunit ribosomal RNA
Source: RNAcentral